This 321-nucleotide long non-coding RNA is filed under the name Gallus gallus (chicken). RNAcentral's name for it is "long non-coding RNA NONGGAT003821". The record is from RNAcentral. Lineage: Eukaryota; Metazoa; Chordata; Aves; Galliformes; Phasianidae.
AGUAGAAGAAGGACAUGUUUAUCAUUCACACUAAUGAAAAAUAUCUUCGUGUUAAUGUGAAGAGAGCAUUUGAACAGAUGCAGAUGUGCCAUACCAAAAUGAUUAAAUGGUACCGCUUAACUCAGAGCACAGGUCUUAUCCCUUGCUCUGCUUUAUAUGAACAGCACGUGAGGAAUCCUUGACUUUUCUGUGAAGCUGUAGCACAGGAGUUGCCAACCAAAAUAUCAGGAGUAGAGAAAAGUGCUCAGGACCACAGGAGAGCUGCCAUGCACUGCAUGAAGUCUGAAAUCAGACCUGGGCCGAUAAAUAAGCAUCUUUCAC